UACAGAGGUCUCAAGCGUUGUUCGGAUUCAUUGGGCGUAAAGGGUGCGUAGGUGGCGCGCUAAGUCAGGUGUGAAAUUUCGGAGCUUAACUCCGAAACUGCAUUUGAUACUGGCGUGCUUGAGGACUGGAGAGGAGACUGGAAUUCAUGGUGUAGCAGUGAAAUGCGUAGAGAUCAUGAGGAACACCGGUGGCGAAGGCGGGUCUCUGGGCCGUAACUGACGCUGAGGAGCGAAAGCAUGGGGAGCGAACAGG
Molecule: ribosomal RNA, 253 nt
Filed under: uncultured bacterium
Lineage: Bacteria
Description: partial 16S ribosomal RNA
Rfam family: Bacterial small subunit ribosomal RNA
Source: RNAcentral